RNAcentral lists this ribosomal RNA (253 nucleotides) under uncultured bacterium. RNAcentral's name for it is "partial 16S ribosomal RNA". It matches the Rfam family "Bacterial small subunit ribosomal RNA", at positions 524 to 776 of the family's 1533-position model. The record is from RNAcentral.
UACGUAGGGCGCAAGCGUUGUCCGGAAUUAUUGGGCGUAAAGAGCUCGUAGGCGGUUUGUCGCGUCUGUCGUGAAAGCCCACGGCUUAACUGUGGGUCUGCGGUCGAUACGGGCAGGCUAGAGUUCGGUAGGGGAGACUGGAAUUCCUGGUGUAGCGGUGAAAUGCGCAGAUAUCAGGAGGAACACCGGUGGCGAAGGCGGGUCUCUGGGCCGAUACUGACGCUGAGGAGCGAAAGCGUGGGGAGCGAACAGG